UACGUAGGGUGCGAGCGUUGCCCGGAUUUAUUGGGCGUAAAGGGCGCGUAGGCGGCCACGCACGUCCGUUGUGAAAUCGCCCGGCUCAACUGGGCGGGGUCGGCGGAUACGGCGUGGCUGGAGCAAGCUAGGGGGCAAUGGAAUUCCCGGUGUAGUGGUGGAAUGCGUAGAUAUCGGGAGGAACACCAGUGGCGAAGGCGGUUGCCUGGAGCUUUGCUGACGCUGAGGCGCGAAGGCGUGGGGAGCGAUCCGG
This 253-nucleotide ribosomal RNA is filed under the name uncultured bacterium. Its description in RNAcentral is "partial 16S ribosomal RNA". It matches the Rfam family "Bacterial small subunit ribosomal RNA", at positions 524 to 776 of the family's 1533-position model. The record is from RNAcentral.